Molecule: long non-coding RNA, 2643 nt
Organism: Alligator mississippiensis (American alligator)
Lineage: Eukaryota; Metazoa; Chordata; Crocodylia; Alligatoridae
Exons: 4
Source: RefSeq, a predicted model, not a curated record
UAGGGGUUCAGCAGCCAAAGGGGAAGGAGGGCAUAUAAGAGCUCCACAGAGAGGCUUGGUGAGGGGUCUAAAGGCUGGAGGAGGAGAACGAUGGAGGAUCCUGGAGAAGCAGAAGUAAGCCCAGAAGAAGGACUGUAGCUGAUGGUGGAGAGCAGAAGCACGAACCCCUGUGUAAAUCAUCCACAGUAGAUGACUUCUGUCAUAGAAGCUUGGGAACACAGGACUGAAAGGGACCAGCCGAGUCCAGUUCUCUGCUAUGCUUUGAGCCUUGAAGUCCCUGCUGGAGCUGCACUGAAUGAAAAAGAGCCCCAUAGCUGUAGGAGAAACAAAGAAGUGCUGGGGGGCACAGAAGUGGGGAGGAGGAUUGCAAAAUUAACUGAAAUAGAGCUGGAGGGGAUGGAUAAUUAAUUAAUUGGUGUUUGUGUUUUUGGGAGGAGCUGGAAGCUCCUGCACCAUCAAGCCGCUUUUAAUGCAAAUUAAUGUAAUUUUAUCACCAGCUGUCAGCAGCUACUAUCUACACAAUGCCUGUCAUUCUUCAUUCAUAGUCCCUCCAGACAGAAGCAGCUUAUCUAAGGGAGCUGCUGAGAAGGCAAAGGACUGGAAAUCUGGGGAAUGAAAUAUUUUAACACCUGUUACAUUUUUUCACAAAGUAUGACAGGUGAGCUAUUCUAUUAUUCACUGAAUAACAGAUGAAAUUCUAUUAAAUUAGCACAGACAGACAAACGGCCUGUGGUGACUUCUGUAUCAUGAGUGCAGAGGUAUGUGGGUGCAAAACCCUUUGGGCACUGAGAAUUACCACCAUGGGGAGAAUUUUUCCUGUUGCUGGUGCUUGUGUGGGGAUCUUGUUCUAGCAGAAUGUCUUUGGCUACUCACACCAAACCUUGUUCACUUGAAGAUUUGUGGUGAGGAGUUGAAAUGUAUGGAGGAAAUAAAAUUAGAGUGCUGUUGUAGCCAUAUUGGUCCUACAAGGGGGCAUCACAGCGGCCCCAGGGCACCUUCUUGUCAUACCUUCAUUGUGUGGACUCUAAGAAAUGGUACAAUUGUUUCGUGAAAUAAUAUCACACAUGGGAUUUUUAGCUCCAGUGCUUGCAAUGAGCUAUGUGAAUGUCAGCCUCACUACUGCCCUGAAUGAUUCUCAUUGACUGAAAUAAUAAUGGGAGUAGCACCUGAAGCCUACAUGCUGAAUGAAAAAUAAAAAGGUAAACAGCUAAGGGAAAAGAAAAGCAUAGAAGUUCAAAUAAGGUCCCCUCUGCCUCCACAAGCAGUGAAAGGAGUAGGGCCUGCAUUUAAAAAAAAAAAAAACAAAUAAAAAUAAGCAGUAGGAUCCAUCUAUCCUGUUGCUAUGCUCAAGUUUGUGGGUUUUUGAUAACUUGAGUAUGUGUUUUGUCACUAGACUCCUUGAAAGAAAAUAGUUUUACACUGCAUAUUGGGAGCAGGUCCCUGCAAGUGUGUGAAAUGUAUGGAUUUCAAAAAACAGCAGAAGCUUUAGGCUAGAAUCUGAUCUGAGUUACACUGGUUACUCCAGGGGAGUUAUUUCAGAAUCACACAAGUAAUUAAACUCAAAACCUCGCCUGCAAACACAUGCCCCAUAGCUGCAGCCCAUAAUUUUCCAUUAUCUUCAGCCCUACGAAAUCAGUGGACUUGCCCACAUGGCUCAGGCAUACUUGCAUUAGUAAGGUAUUCUUUUUAGGAUCAGGGCAUGGACUGGAACUAUGUCUUCAGAGUUAGAGGCAUUAUCCCCUGGUAGUUUGAGAGGGUGUGAUGCUUGAACCUCCAAGGAAGCACAGUGCCCAAUCCCAUUCUCACUUGUACCCAUGUAGUUCCAAUGAUUUCAGCAGAGUAGUUGUAGAUUUACCCUAAGGUUCAAUCGGAGGAGAAUCAGGCCCACAGGACCACCCAGGAUGACAGCUCCUGCAACUUCAGGGGUGUUUGUUUUCCAGCAAGGCUCUUAUUGGGGUCUGUUUAAUGAAGUCCACUGAAUGAGACAUGGUGCAUUUUGUUCCACGGAGACCCUCCCAUUACUUAGGACUCAUACCUUAACCUUUCCUGUAGGGCCAGUCAUUUGUUGUGGUCUUGGGAUGAGUGUUUCACCCCACAUGCAACAUAAGCAGAGCAGGGCACUUGAGCAGCUGUGGAAUGAAGGGACAACAUCUCCACACCUUGUUUGCUCAGGGCACUGACCCCAGUUCAGCCAAGCACCUAGGCACAAGCUUCACUUUAAGCCUACAUUCAAAGUCUCCAAGUAAAUUAAAAUAUUUCAAAAUUGCUGUACCAUAUUUUUGGCCAGCCUUAACUGUAUGGUAUAUAAUAUGUACACUGCAUAAAAGUGGAGUCCACUUGUUAGUUUGUAAGUUCCUUGGACAGAGAAUGCCUUUUGCUUCAUUUCAGCGCAUCACCCUUCAAAUGGGGCCAGCUUUGGGGCACUACCCUCAUUGCUAAUGGUAAUAUUAAUGAACCUACAUGAGUGAAAGCAGGGUGGAAACAGGGUAUACAUUUAUCACCUAUUGGAAACCUGUUUUUAUUGCUUUCACUUUUACAGUCAGGUGCAUGAUCUAACCAUCAGACAGAAACAUCUUCAGACAGACCCAAAGGACAAUCAGCAGAAGACCCCUGGCCACACUUCCCAGGCCUCAGCUACACAGC